Molecule: ribosomal RNA, 221 nt
Filed under: uncultured bacterium
Lineage: Bacteria
Description: partial 16S ribosomal RNA
Rfam family: Bacterial small subunit ribosomal RNA
Source: RNAcentral
AGUAAUGCUUGGGAAUCUAGCUUAUGGAGGGGAUAACUACGGGAAACUGUAGCUAAUACCGCGUAGAAUCGAGAGAUGAAAGUGUGGGACCUUCGGGCCACAUGCCAUAGGAUGAGCCCAAGUGGGAUUAGGUAGUUGGUGAGGUAAAGGCUCACCAAGCCGACGAUCUCUAGCUGGUCUGAGAGGAUGACCAGCCACACUGGGACUGAGACACGGCCCAG